GCUUGAAAAGGUUCUCAUCAGGAAGGGUGGAGGCAACAUGGUUUGUACUCUUGGAAGGGACAAGGCGUCCUCGGCAGAGCGAUCGCUCCUCUCACUGCAGCCUCUGUCCUGCACCCUGUAAACAGAGGAACUGGAGAGGCAGGACAGGAAGGCAAAGCCCCGUCAGAGUCCUGUGCCGCUCAAAGAGAUAAACAAGAACUCAAGAAAUGAGAAGAUUCUUAAGGUGAUGGCUCAACGCGUGAGGAAAUACGGGGCAAAAGGCAGCUAUCAAGGAGAGGAAGCUGGAGAAGGGCAGGCUGCUCCGAGCAGUGAGGUCAGCACUGCAAAAAUAGCACGGGGAAGCUUCCUGCAGGCAGCCAGCCGCGAGCACACAUGGCCCUGUGCUCCUCCUGCACACAGAUGUCUGUAGAAGAGCAGGUAUGCAUGGAAGCUCUGUGCCCUUGGCAAGCAGCCCCAAGCGUGAGCAUGGAGAUGGAGAGGGUGAG
This 485-nucleotide long non-coding RNA is filed under the name Phasianus colchicus (ring-necked pheasant). Its description in RNAcentral is "lncRNA (ENSPCLG00000014345.1)". The record is from RNAcentral. Lineage: Eukaryota; Metazoa; Chordata; Aves; Galliformes; Phasianidae.